Molecule: small RNA, 132 nt
Filed under: Klebsiella quasipneumoniae subsp. similipneumoniae
Lineage: Bacteria; Pseudomonadati; Pseudomonadota; Gammaproteobacteria; Enterobacterales; Enterobacteriaceae
Also listed under: 3 other names
Description: RtT sRNA
Rfam family: RtT RNA
About the family: This family represents a bacterial cis-regulatory element known as RtT RNA. The exact function of RtT is unknown although it is thought that it may be involved in changing the cellular response in relation to amino acid starvation.
Source: RNAcentral
UAUUCUGCCCUACGGGGAAGGAUGAGAAGCUUCGACUAAGGUUCGACUCGAGCGUAGCGAGAGAACGUUGCCGCAGGCAACGGCCCGAAGGGCGAGGCGCGUUAGCGCCGAGUCAUCCUUCCCCCACCACCA